RNAcentral lists this ribosomal RNA (879 nucleotides) under uncultured organism. Its description in RNAcentral is "bacterial SSU rRNA". It matches the Rfam family "Bacterial small subunit ribosomal RNA", at positions 458 to 1326 of the family's 1533-position model. The record is from RNAcentral.
UCAGCAACCCAAUGAGCAACUCCAGAGGAAGGACCGGCUAACUUCGUGCCAGCAGCCGCGGUAAUACGAAGGGUCCAAGCGUUAAUCGGAAUCACUGGGCUUAAAGGGUGCGUAGGCGGACUGGCCAGUGCCUUGUGAAAUCCCACGGCUCAACCGUGGAAUUGCUCGGCAUACUGCCAGUCUUGAGGUCGGUAGAGGGUGCCGGAACUCUAGGUGGAGCGGUGAAAUGCGUAGAUAUCUAGAGGAACGUCAAAGGCGAAGGCAGGCACCUGGUCCGAUUCUGACGCUGAGGCACGAAAGCGUGGGGAGCGAACGGGAUUAGAUACCCCGGUAGUCCACACCCUAAACUAUGUGCACUAGAUUGUGGGGGUUUUGACGCCCGCACAAUCGAAGCUAAAGUGAUUAGUGCACCGCCUGGGGAGUACGGUCGCAAGGCUAAAACUCAAAGGAAUUGACGGGGGCUCACACAAGCGGUGGAGCAUGUGGCUUAAUUCGAAGCUACGCGAAGAACCUUAUCCAGGGUUUGACAUGUACGGAUUAGCUCGGCGAAAGUCGAGUGACGCUCUUUGGGUGGAACGUACACAGGUGCUGCAUGGCUGUCGUCAGCUCGUGCUGUGAAGUGUCGGGUUAAGUCCCUUAACGAGCGAAACCCCUACCACUAGUUACCAGCGGACCUUCGGGUGCCGGGGACUCUAGCGGGACUGCCGGUGUCAAACCGGAGGAAGGUGGGGACGACGUCAAGUCCUCAUGGCCUUUAUGCCCUGGGCUGCACACGUGCUACAAUGGUAACUACAAAGCGAAGCGAUACCGCAAGGUGGAGCAAAUCGCAAAAAAGUUGCCCCAGUUCGGAUUGUGGUCUGCAACUCGACCACAUGAAGU